Molecule: transfer RNA, 71 nt
Filed under: Aphyosemion cameronense (Cameroon killifish)
Lineage: Eukaryota; Metazoa; Chordata; Actinopteri; Cyprinodontiformes; Nothobranchiidae
Description: tRNA-Trp
Rfam family: tRNA
About the family: Transfer RNA (tRNA) molecules are approximately 80 nucleotides in length. Their secondary structure includes four short double-helical elements and three loops (D, anti-codon, and T loops). Further hydrogen bonds mediate the characteristic L-shaped molecular structure. tRNAs have two regions of fundamental functional importance: the anti-codon, which is responsible for specific mRNA codon recognition, and the 3' end, to which the tRNAs corresponding amino acid is attached (by aminoacyl-tRNA synthetases). tRNAs cope with the degeneracy of the genetic code in two manners: having more than one tRNA (with a specific anti-codon) for a particular amino acid; and 'wobble' base-pairing, i.e. permitting non-standard base-pairing at the 3rd anti-codon position.
Source: RNAcentral
AGGGGUUUAGGAUAAUAUUAAACCAAAAGCCUUCAAAGCUUUAAAUAAGAGUGGAACUCUCUUAACCCUUA